This 138-nucleotide small nucleolar RNA is filed under the name Ornithorhynchus anatinus (platypus). Lineage: Eukaryota; Metazoa; Chordata; Mammalia; Monotremata; Ornithorhynchidae. The record is from RNAcentral.
CCCCUCUCAGGGUCGCAUCUGGAGAGUUUCCAGUAUUCUACCAGUCUCGGCUCCGGGAGGGGGAGUCGAGCAGAGGCUUAUCCAUUCCGUUCUUAGCUUGGGCAGCGGCUAGCGAGUGGAAGGCCGUCUGCUCCAAAU